This 73-nucleotide transfer RNA is filed under the name Operophtera brumata (winter moth). It matches the Rfam family "tRNA". From Rfam's summary of the family: Transfer RNA (tRNA) molecules are approximately 80 nucleotides in length. Their secondary structure includes four short double-helical elements and three loops (D, anti-codon, and T loops). Lineage: Eukaryota; Metazoa; Arthropoda; Insecta; Lepidoptera; Geometridae. The record is from Rfam by way of RNAcentral.
CGUUCCAUGGCGAAAUUAGUCUAUGCAUCGCCGAUUAGAGGCGAAUAUGCGGGUUCGAGUCUCGCUGGAACGA